Molecule: non-coding RNA, 54 nt
Organism: Salmo salar (Atlantic salmon)
Lineage: Eukaryota; Metazoa; Chordata; Actinopteri; Salmoniformes; Salmonidae
Source: Rfam
UGCAUUCACUAGUGCAAGUCGCUCUGGAUAAGAGCGUCUGCUAAAUGACUAAAA